RNAcentral lists this non-coding RNA (30 nucleotides) under Mus musculus (house mouse). The record is from RNAcentral. Lineage: Eukaryota; Metazoa; Chordata; Mammalia; Rodentia; Muridae.
UCUCCCUUUCAGAAGAAUUUUAACUGCUAC